CGGCAGAAAACAAAUAGCGGAGGAGACUGAGGCAGAGAUGGAUAACACUUAACAACACCACAUCAAUUUCCAGGUGUACUUGUACGACAAACUUCAGAUAUUUCGACAUCUUCUGUGGUUGCAUCAAAUGCUGUGAUUGCUCGACACCUUGCCAAACUCGAGGAAGGCAUCAAGGAACUGCAAUUAAACCAAAAAGAAAUAUUGGAAAGACUACGCUCUGGAGCAACUGCGACGGCUGUAGCUGUUGGUUAUCAAGCCCUGUCCCUGCCAGAAGGAGUCAAUUUACCAUGCACCCAGAUCGAAGAGAUUAAAAAGAUUGAUGUCUGGCUAACAGUGGACGAAAAUUACAUGCUACUUGUUAACCACUUGAGCUAUGUAGGCGGUAACAAAACAUCAGCAAUAUUAAGGAGGAUUCUUGAAAAACUGUUUUCAAACAAACUUGCGGAAAUCUGUAAUUGGUCAGGCAAAAAUGGAAAACAUAAGCUACAAGAUCACCUUUUAAUUAAAGUUGUUACUGAAGCUCUCCGUCGGCACAAAGUCGCCGAAACGGCUACAGAAAACGAGAUAAAGACCGUGGUUAGCAACUGGUUCCGCUUCUCCAAAGAUAGAGAUGGAGGUCGAGAAAGCAGACGCAGGACAAUUGAGCCAACUUCUAUCCAGCAAUAAUCAACGUUACACAGGGCUGUCAACUAGAAAUAAGAAAAGACAUUUAGCCUUAAAGAUACAAGAAAUAUCUGUAGAGUUAAACGGGCUCAGUGGGGAAACUAGUCCACCUAAUCAACCAUAUACUGUAGAUGUCGGUAACAGUAAUUUUACGGAGUUCAGAGCUUUCAUUUUGUAUUUAGGCCCUGUUGUUUUACGUGGUGUGUUAAGCAAAACACUGUACGCGCAUUUUCUUUUAUUGCACUGUGCAAUUUACAUAUUAUGCACUGCAAAUAUUUGUAAACAUGAUGAAUGGCGACAGUACGCCGGCGACUUGCUACAUUGUUUUGUUCUAUACAUGUCAGAUUUGUACAGCAACGAAUUUCUUGUAUAUAACGUCCACAAUCUGCUCCAUUUGGCAGAUGACGCAUAUAACUUUGGCCAUCUUGAUAACUUUUCGGCAUUUCCCUUUGAGAAUUUUAUGUCUAAAAUAAAGAACAUGGUUCGUGGUCAUAACAUGCCAUUAGAGCAGGUUGCUAAAAGAAUGGGUGAGAAUUGUAACUCUGAAAAAAAGAAUAUUACUAAAAGAAAACCUAUUAAAGAACA
Molecule: long non-coding RNA, 1248 nt
Organism: Aricia agestis (brown argus)
Lineage: Eukaryota; Metazoa; Arthropoda; Insecta; Lepidoptera; Lycaenidae
Exons: 4
Source: RefSeq, a predicted model, not a curated record